CAGUAGCCACGGGAAUACGAAGGGGGCUAGCGUUGCUCGGAAUGACUGGGCGUAAAGGGCGCGUAGGCGGAUUGUUUAGUUAGGCGUGAAAUUCCUGGGCUUAACCUGGGGACUGCGCUUAAUACAGGCAGUCUAGAGUGAGGAAGAGGGUUGUGGAAUUCCCAGUGUAGAGGUGAAAUUCGUAGAUAUUGGGAAGAACACCGGUGGCGAAGGCGGCAACCUGGUCCUUGACUGACGCUGAGGCGCGAAAGCGUGGGGAGCAAACAGGAUUAGAGACCCCGUAGUCCAUGUCUCUUAUACA
This 301-nucleotide ribosomal RNA is filed under the name uncultured bacterium. RNAcentral describes it as "partial 16S ribosomal RNA". It matches the Rfam family "Bacterial small subunit ribosomal RNA", at positions 509 to 808 of the family's 1533-position model. The record is from RNAcentral.